GACGAACCGUGCGAACGUUGUUCGGAUUCACUGGGCUUAAAGGGCGCGUAGGCGGGCCGUCAAGUCGGGGGUGAAAUCUUUCAGCUUAACUGAAAAAGAGCCUUCGAUACUGGCAGUCUGGAGGAAGGUAGGGGCAUGUGGAACUUCCGGUGGAGCGGUGAAAUGCGUAGAUAUCGGAAGGAACGCCGGUGGCGAAAGCGACGUACUGGACCUCUUCUGACGCUGAGGCGCGAAAGCUAGGGGAGCAAACGGG
RNAcentral lists this ribosomal RNA (253 nucleotides) under uncultured bacterium. RNAcentral describes it as "partial 16S ribosomal RNA". It matches the Rfam family "Bacterial small subunit ribosomal RNA", at positions 524 to 776 of the family's 1533-position model. The record is from RNAcentral.